Molecule: ribosomal RNA, 453 nt
Filed under: uncultured Eubacteriales bacterium
Lineage: Bacteria; Bacillati; Bacillota; Clostridia; Eubacteriales
Description: bacterial SSU rRNA
Rfam family: Bacterial small subunit ribosomal RNA
Source: RNAcentral
GGGUAGCAUGUGGUUUAAUUCGAAGCAACGCGAAGAACCUUACCAGGGCUUGACAUGCCGCUGACCGGUGCAGAGAUGCAUCUUUAUCCUUCGGGGUACAGCGGACACAGGUGGUGCAUGGUUGUCGUCAGCUCGUGUCGUGAGAUGUUGGGUUAAGUCCCGCAACGAGCGCAACCCUUGUCUUUAGUUGCCAUCAUUAAGUUGGGCACUCUAAAGAGACUGCCGAUGACAAAUCGGAGGAAGGUGGGGAUGACGUCAAAUCAUCAUGCCCUUUAUGUACUGGGCUACACACGUGCUACAAUGGUCGGUACAACGAGAAGCAAGCCAGCGAUGGCAAGCAAAUCUCUAAAAGCCGAUCCCAGUUCGGAUUGCAGGCUGCAACUCGCCUGCAUGGAGUCGGAGUUGCUAGUAAUCGCGGAUCAGAAUGCCGCGGUGAAUGCGUUCCCGGGUCUU